UGGGGAAUAUUGCACAAUGGGCGCAAGCCUGAUGCAGCCAUGCCGCGUGUAUGAAGAAGGCCUUCGGGUUGUAAAGUACUUUCAGCGGGGAGGAAGGGAGUAAAGUUAAUACCUUUGCUCAUUGACGUUACCCGCAGAAGAAACACCGGCUAACUCCGUGCCAGCAGCCGCGGUAAUACGGAGGGUGCAAGCGUUAAUCGGAAUUACUGGGCGUAAAGCGCACGCAGGCGGUUUGUUAAGUCGGAUGUGAAAUCCCCGGGCUUAACCUGGGAACUGCAUUCGAAACUGGCAGGCUAGAGUCUUGUAGAGGGGGGUAGAAUUCCAGGUGUAGCGGUGAAAUGCGUAGAGAUCUGGAGGAAUACCGGUGGCGAAGGCGGCCCCCUGGACAAAGACUGACGCUCAGGUGCGAAAGCGUGGGGAGCAAACAGG
Molecule: ribosomal RNA, 429 nt
Filed under: Chloroflexota bacterium
Lineage: Bacteria; Bacillati; Chloroflexota
Description: Chloroflexi bacterium partial 16S ribosomal RNA
Rfam family: Bacterial small subunit ribosomal RNA
Source: RNAcentral